CUGCGUGGCGCGGCGGCGGGCAAGGGCAGUGCGCAGUGAGUGGCGCUGCGGGUGGUGCCGUCAGCGGCGCUGGUGAGAGAACGCCGAGCAGUCACCGAAGCCUCCGCCGCCGAGAAGCCCGUUCCCGCUGCCGGGAAGCAGAGUCUGUGCCGACAAGAUGGCGGACGGGGAGUUGAACGUGGACAGCCUCAUCACCCGGCUGCUGGAGGUAGGAGGAUGUCGACCAGGAAAGAUUGUGCAGAUGACUGAAGCAGAAGUUCGGGGUUUAUCUAUCAAGUCUCGGGAUAUCGUUCUCAGCCAGCCUAUUCUUUUGGAAUUGGAAGCACCACUGAAAAUGUGUGGAGAUAUUCAUGGACAGUAUACAGAUUUACUGAGAUUAUUUGAAUAUGGAGGUUUCCCACCAGAAGGCAACUACCUUUUCUUAGGAGAUGAUGUGGACAGAGGAAAGGAGUCUUUGGAAACUAUUUGUUUGCUAUUGGCUUAUACAAUAAAAUACCCGGCCGGGCGCGAGAACUUCUUUCUCUUAAGAGGAAACAAUGAGUGUGCUGGCAUCAAUCGCAUUUAUGGAUUCUAUGAUGAAUGCAAACGAAGAUUUAAUAUUAAAUUGUGGAAGACCUUCACUGAUUGUUUUAACUGUCUGCCUAUAGCAGCCAUUGUGGAUGACAAGAUCUUCUGUUGUCAUGGAGGAUUGUCACCAGACCUGCAAUCUAUGGAGCAGAUUAGGAGAAUUAUGAGACCUACCGAUGUCCCCGAUACAGGUUUGCUCUGUGAUUUGCUGUGGUCUGAUCCAGAUAAGGAUGUGCAAGGCUGGGGAGAAAAUGAUCGUGGUGUUUCCUUUACUUUUGGAGCUGAUGUAGUCAGUAAAUUUCUGAAUCGUCAUAAUUUGGAUUUGAUUUGUCAAGCUCAUCAGGUGGUGGAAGAUGGAUAUGAAUAUUUGCUAAACGACAAUUGGUCACCCUAUUUUCAGCCCCAAAUUAUUGUGGCGAGUUUGAUAAUGCUAGUGGAAUGAUGAGUGUACAUGAAACUUUGAUGUGUUCCUUUCAGAUAUUGAAACCAUCUGAAAAGAAAGCUAAGUACCAGAAUGGUGGACUGAAUUCAGGACAUCCUGUCACUCCACCUCAAACAGCUAAUCCACCAAAGAAAAGGUGAAGAAAGGAAUUCUGUAAAGAAACCAUCAGAUUUGUUAAGAACAUACUUCAUAAUAAAAAGUGUGCGCUGUAAAACCAUCCAGCCAUUUGACACCCUUUAUGAUGUCACACCUUUAACUUAAGGAGAAGGGUAAAGGGUCUUAAACUUUUUUCUAAUAGAAAGAUGUGCUACACUGUAUUGUAAUAAGUAUACUCUGUUAUAGUCAACAAAGUUAAAUCCAAAUUCAAAAUUAUCCAUUAAAGUUACAUCUUCCCGUAUCACAAUUUUUAAAGUUGAAAAGCAUCCCAGUUAAACUAGAUGUGAUAGUUAAACCAGAUGAAAGCAUGAUGAUCCAUCUGUGUAAUGUGGUUUUAGUGUUGCUUGGUUGUUUAAUUAUUUUGACCUUGUUUUGUGUUUUUGUUUGUUUUUCGCUAGAAUAAUAGCAAAUACGUCUAAUUUUUUUCCGUAAACAUUUUUAAAAGUGAAAUAUGGGAAGAGCUUUAAAGACAUUCACCAAGUAUUACUUUCCCUUAUUUACCUACUUAGAUACCUGUUUAAUCUUACUAAGAAAACUUAUGCCUCUGUACAUUAAAAAUGAAUUUUAGAGAUUGAUUGAUUAAAAAAAAAAUACGCACACUGUCGAAUCCAGUGAUUUUAAUCAUACAGUUUGACUGGGCAAACUUUACAGCUAAUAGUGCAUAUUUUGCUUUAUACCGAAAUUGCUACUGCUUUGGAUUUGUGCACUCUAAUUU
Molecule: non-coding RNA, 1880 nt
Organism: Callithrix jacchus (white-tufted-ear marmoset)
Lineage: Eukaryota; Metazoa; Chordata; Mammalia; Primates; Cebidae
Source: RefSeq, a predicted model, not a curated record